Molecule: ribosomal RNA, 789 nt
Filed under: uncultured bacterium
Lineage: Bacteria
Description: bacterial SSU rRNA
Rfam family: Bacterial small subunit ribosomal RNA
Source: RNAcentral
AGAGUUUGAUCCUGGCUCAGGACGAACGCUGGCGGCGUGCUUAACACAUGCAAGUCGAACGGAAAGGCCCCUUCGGGGGUACUCGAGUGGCGAACGGGUGAGUAACACGUGGGUGAUCUGCCCUGCACUUUGGGAUAAGCCUGGGAAACUGGGUCUAAUACCGAAUAGGACCGCAUGCUUCAUGGUGUGUGGUGGAAAGCUUUUGCGGUGUGGGAUGGGCCCGCGGCCUAUCAGCUUGUUGGUGGGGUAAUGGCCUACCAAGGCGACGACGGGUAGCCGGCCUGAGAGGGUGUCCGGCCACACUGGGACUGAGAUACGGCCCAGACUCCUACGGGAGGCAGCAGUGGGGAAUAUUGCACAAUGGGCGCAAGCCUGAUGCAGCGACGCCGCGUGGGGGAUGACGGCCUUCGGGUUGUAAACCUCUUUCAGUAUCGGCGAAGCUCCAGGAUUUUUCUUGGGGUGACGGUAGGUACAGAAGAAGCACCGGCCAACUACGUGCCAGCAGCCGCGGUAAUACGUAGGGUGCGAGCGUUGUCCGGAAUUACUGGGCGUAAAGAGCUCGUAGGUGGUUUGUCACGUUGUCUGUGAAAACUCACAGCUCAACUGUGGGCGUGCGGGCGAUACGGGCAGACUGGAGUACUGUAGGGGAGACUGGAAUUCCUGGUGUAGCGGUGGAAUGCGCAGAUAUCAGGAGGAACACCGGUGGCGAAGGCGGGUCUCCGGGCAGUAACUGACGCUGAGGAGCGAAAGCGUGGGGAGCGAACAGGAUUAGAUACCCUGGUAGUCCAA